Molecule: unclassified non-coding RNA, 424 nt
Filed under: soil metagenome
Description: partial contains 5.8S ribosomal RNA, internal transcribed spacer 2, and large subunit ribosomal RNA
Rfam family: 5.8S ribosomal RNA (bases 1-120)
Source: RNAcentral
GAUGAAGAACGUAGCGAAAUGCGAUACGUAAUGUGAAUUGCAGAAUUCAGUGAAUCAUCGAAUCUUUGAACGCAUAUUGCGCUCUCUGGUAUUCCGGAGAGCAUGCUUGUUUGAGUAUCAGUAAACACCUCAACUCCCUUUCUUCUUGAAAUGGAGCUGGACUUGAGUGAUCCCAACGCUUUAUUCAUAAAGUGGCGGGUUACUUGAAAUGCAGGUGCAGCUGGACUUUUCUCUGAGCUAUAAGCAUAUCUAUUUAGUCUGCCUCAAAACAGAUUAUUACCUUUGCUGCAGCUAACAUAAAGGAGAUUAGUUCUUGUGCUGACUGAUGCAGGGUUCACAAAGACCGCUUCGGCUGUCUUUGUAAACUCGUUCUCAAAUCAAGUAAGACUACCCGCUGAACUUAAGCAUAUCAAUAAGCGGAGGA